CGGGGCGUGGCGCAGUCUGGUAGCGCACUCGGCUGGGGGCCGAGUGGUCGGAGGUUCAAAUCCUCUCGCCCCGACCU
RNAcentral lists this transfer RNA (77 nucleotides) under Actinomycetota bacterium. Its description in RNAcentral is "Actinobacteria bacterium (freshwater metagenome) tRNA-Pro". It matches the Rfam family "tRNA". From Rfam's summary of the family: Transfer RNA (tRNA) molecules are approximately 80 nucleotides in length. The record is from RNAcentral. RNAcentral also lists the same sequence under 1 other name. Lineage: Bacteria; Bacillati; Actinomycetota.